UAAGGAAUAUUGGUCAAUGGACGAAAGUCUGAACCAGCCAUGCCGCGUGGAGGAUGACGGUCCUCUGGAUUGUAAACUUCUUUUAUUUGGGACGAAAAAAGGGCAUUCUUGCUCACUUGACGGUACCAGAUGAAUAAGCACCGGCUAACUCCGUGCCAGCAGCCGCGGUAAUACGGAGGGUGCAAGCGUUAUCCGGAUUCACUGGGUUUAAAGGGUGCGUAGGCGGGCAGGUAAGUCAGUGGUGAAAUCUUUGGGCUUAACCCGAAAACUGCCAUUGAUACUAUCUGUCUUGAAUAUUGUGGAGGUGAGCGGAAUAUGUCAUGUAGCGGUGAAAUGCUUAGAUAUGACAUAGAACACCCAUUGCGAAGGCAGCUCACUACGCAUAUAUUGACGCUGAGGCACGAAAGCGUGGGGAUCAAACAGG
Molecule: ribosomal RNA, 424 nt
Filed under: uncultured bacterium
Lineage: Bacteria
Description: bacterial SSU rRNA
Rfam family: Bacterial small subunit ribosomal RNA
Source: RNAcentral